GGGGUCGUAGUGUAACUUGGCUUAGCAUUCAAGCUUCGGGAGCUUGUGGUUCUGGGUUCAAAUCCCAGCGACCCCA
This 76-nucleotide transfer RNA is filed under the name Candidatus Woesearchaeota archaeon. RNAcentral describes it as "tRNA-Pro". It matches the Rfam family "tRNA". From Rfam's summary of the family: Transfer RNA (tRNA) molecules are approximately 80 nucleotides in length. The record is from RNAcentral. Lineage: Archaea; Nanobdellati; Candidatus Woesearchaeota.